Molecule: ribosomal RNA, 496 nt
Filed under: uncultured bacterium
Lineage: Bacteria
Description: partial 16S ribosomal RNA
Rfam family: Bacterial small subunit ribosomal RNA
Source: RNAcentral
AUGAACGCUGGCGGCGUGCCUAAUACAUGCAAGUCGAGCGAACAGACGAGGAGCUUGCUCCUCUGACGUUAGCGGCGGACGGGUGAGUAACACGUGGAUAACCUACCUAUAAGACUGGGAUAACUUCGGGAAACCGGAGCUAAUACCGGAUAAUAUAUUGAACCGCAUGGUUCAAUAGUGAAAGACGGUUUUGCUGUCACUUAUAGAUGGAUCCGCGCCGCAUUAGCUAGUUGGUAAGGUAACGGCUUACCAAGGCAACGAUGCGUAGCCGACCUGAGAGGGUGAUCGGCCACACUGGAACUGAGACACGGUCCAGACUCCUACGGGAGGCAGCAGUAGGGAAUCUUCCGCAAUGGGCGAAAGCCUGACGGAGCAACGCCGCGUGAGUGAUGAAGGUCUUCGGAUCGUAUAACUCUGUUAUUAGGGAAGAACAAAUGUGUAAGUAACUAUGCACGUCUUGACGGUACCUAAUCAGAAAGCCACGGCUAACUACGUG